RNAcentral lists this ribosomal RNA (465 nucleotides) under Vreelandella stevensii. RNAcentral describes it as "partial 16S ribosomal RNA". It matches the Rfam family "Bacterial small subunit ribosomal RNA", at positions 338 to 795 of the family's 1533-position model. The record is from RNAcentral. Lineage: Bacteria; Pseudomonadati; Pseudomonadota; Gammaproteobacteria; Oceanospirillales; Halomonadaceae.
CCUAGGGGGCGCAGCAGUGGGGAAUAUUGGACAAUGGGCGAAAGCCUGAUCCAGCCAUGCCGCGUGUGUGAAGAAGGCCUUCGGGUUGUAAAGCACUUUCAGUGGGGAAGAAAGCCUUGGGGCUAAUACCCUCGAGGAAGGACAUCACCCACAGAAGAAGCACCGGCUAACUCCGUGCCAGCAGCCGCGGUAAUACGGAGGGUGCGAGCGUUAAUCGGAAUUACUGGGCGUAAAGCGCGCGUAGGCGGUCUGAUAAGCCGGUUGUGAAAGCCCCGGGCUCAACCUGGGAACGGCAUCCGGAACUGUCAGGCUAGAGUGCAGGAGAGGAAGGUAGAAUUCCCGGUGUAGCGGUGAAAUGCGUAGAGAUCGGGAGGAAUACCAGUGGCGAAGGCGGCCUUCUGGACUGACACUGACGCUGAGGUGCGAAAGCGUGGGUAGCAAACAGGAUUAGAUACCCGAGUAGUC